GCCAUGUUCUCAGAGCCUGAACUAAGAUGCUCAUCACAGUUUUGGGAUCACAGUCUCAGUAAAAUAAAGUCAUGAUCCUGUUUGUCCAGAUAGCAGAAGUGAUAAAAGUGAAUUCACUUGAUGUAGAAACACUGAUGUCUGUUAUAGAGCUGCUUUUGGAAACACUGGCUAAUUUAAGCAACAGAGAGCUCCAGGUCUUCAAGCAAGUUCUCCCGAGUCAAAGUUAUCUCUACAAACCUUACUUAGAGAAAGUUUUGAAACUGCUCAUGAUGGCAAUGGCAAUUCUUCUUUAUUCUAAAUAUCAUGAUUUAUAAUGUAGAGACAAUAAAAAUAUCAUCUGGUGCAGUAACGGCCACUGAUAUGGGCGAAUUGGGCAAGCGCCCAGGGCGGCAUUUUGUCAUGACUCAUCGGGGGCGGCACGAGCUCUUCAAAAAAAAAUUCCUUUGCAUUCCUUUCUUCUAUUUCCACGUCAAGUCAAUCUAUCACUGUGUGUCGGGGAAAUUGGCAAAUUGGCUCACUCUCUGUUGUGCACGCGCCCCUGCUUGCUGAGAUGGUGCCGCGCGCACAGAAGCUGUGAGAGAAGGGGACGGGGCAGUUCACCUGGGUCUCCCUACUGGAACGAGCAGUGGGGAAAGGGGGAUCCACUUAAUAGAGUAAUACUCUAAUGGAAUUAGUGGACUUAAGUCAGUCACACCUCGACUUUCUUCCAAAUAAAGCACAUUUCAUUCAUAA
This is a long non-coding RNA of Scomber scombrus (Atlantic mackerel), 732 nucleotides long. RefSeq lists it as uncharacterized. The transcript is spliced from 2 exons. Lineage: Eukaryota; Metazoa; Chordata; Actinopteri; Scombriformes; Scombridae. The record is from RefSeq and is a predicted model, not a curated record.